RNAcentral lists this transfer RNA (70 nucleotides) under Loxodonta africana (African savanna elephant). It matches the Rfam family "tRNA". Rfam says of the family: Transfer RNA (tRNA) molecules are approximately 80 nucleotides in length. The record is from Rfam by way of RNAcentral. Lineage: Eukaryota; Metazoa; Chordata; Mammalia; Proboscidea; Elephantidae.
CCCCUGGUUGUGCAGUGGUCAAGCACUUGGCUGCGAACUAAAAGGUUAGCAGUUCAACUGCUCUAGGGGA